GAUGAACGCUGGCGGCGUGCCUAAUACAUGCAAGCCGAGCGAACGGACGAGAAGCUUGCUUCUCUGAUGUUAGCGGCGGACGGGUGAGUAACACGUGGAUAACCUACCUAUAUGACUGGGAUAACUUCGGGAAACCGGAGCUAAUACCGGAUAAUAUUUUGAACCGCAUGGUUCAAAAGUGAAUGACGGUCUUGCUGUCACUUAUAGAUGGUUCCGCGCUGCAUUAGCUAGUUGGUAAGGUAACGGCUUACCAAGGCUACGAUGCAUAGCCGACCUGAGAGGGUGAUCGGCCACACUGGAGCUGAGACACGGUCCAGACUCCUACGGGAGGCAGCAGUAGGGAAUCUUCCGCAAUGGGCGAAAGCCUGACGGAGCAACGCCGCGUGAGUGAUGAAGGUCUUCGGAUCGUAAAACCCUGUUAUUAGGGAAGAACAUAUGUGUAAGUAAAUGUGCACAUCUUGACGGUACCUAAUCAGAAAGCCACGGCUAACUACGUG
RNAcentral lists this ribosomal RNA (497 nucleotides) under uncultured bacterium. RNAcentral's name for it is "partial 16S ribosomal RNA". It matches the Rfam family "Bacterial small subunit ribosomal RNA", at positions 28 to 507 of the family's 1533-position model. The record is from RNAcentral.